GACCUCGGAUCAGGUAGGGAUACCCGCUGAACUUAAGCAUAUCAAUAAGCGGAGGAAAAGAAACCAACCGGGAUUGCCUCAGUAACGGCGAGUGAAGCGGCAAGAGCUCAAAUUUGAAAGCUGGCUCCUUCGGAGUCCGCAUUGUAAUUUGCAGAGGAUGCUUUGGGUGCGGCCCCCGUCUAAGUGCCCUGGAACGGGCCGUCAGAGAGGGUGAGAAUCCCGUCUUGGGCGGGGUGUCCGUGCCCGUGUAAAGCUCCUUCGACGAGUCGAGUUGUUUGGGAAUGCAGCUCUAAAUGGGUGGUAAAUUUCAUCUAAAGCUAAAUACUGGCCGGAGACCGAUAGCGCACAAGUAGAGUGAUCGAAAGAUGAAAAGCACUUUGAAAAGAGAGUUAAACAGCACGUGAAAUUGUUGAAAGGGAA
RNAcentral lists this ribosomal RNA (420 nucleotides) under Aspergillus sp. RNAcentral describes it as "LSU rRNA". It matches the Rfam family "Eukaryotic large subunit ribosomal RNA", at positions 1 to 418 of the family's 3401-position model. Lineage: Eukaryota; Fungi; Ascomycota; Eurotiomycetes; Eurotiales; Aspergillaceae. The record is from RNAcentral.